AACAUUAGGAGAGGCGAGGAGGUGCUUCAAUUGCAAGGUUUAUUUAUAUACAGAGUGAUCCACAGUAGCAGAUGUUCAUUAGUUUUACUAUAAGUGGUGAUUCUUGUCGAGGGCUACUGGGAAGGAUGGAUAAAGUGGCCCAGGCAGGUAAAGUGGCCACCUUCUGUUUCCGGACGAACUGAUAACAGUUAUCUGUCAACGACAUAUGGCCGGGUCCGUGCUCGUCUUCAGAUUUUAUGGUGAAAUAAUUGUGCUUUGUGGUAUCUGAUCUAAGUUAUGCCAAAUAAAUACACACGGACGUCACAGCAGCAGGAAUGCAGUUCAGAAGUAAUGUAUAAAGCUAUACAGCUGUACGAAAAGGUGAAAUGGGUUUUUUAAAAGCAAGCAAAGCCUUCGGUGUUCCUCGAACAACGCUCAAACGGCGUCUAAAUGGAAAAAACAAAGACGCCGUUGUAAAUAUAAAAAUAAUGGGGUGUCGUCGUCCAAUUUUUAGUCCAAAACAAGAGGAAGAAUCAGGACGUUAAUACAAAUACACCAGGUGCAGUUACCCCACCAACAUUUAAUCCUUACUUAAACCCGCAACCCAUA
Molecule: long non-coding RNA, 588 nt
Organism: Leptinotarsa decemlineata (Colorado potato beetle)
Lineage: Eukaryota; Metazoa; Arthropoda; Insecta; Coleoptera; Chrysomelidae
Source: RefSeq, a predicted model, not a curated record